This 267-nucleotide ribosomal RNA is filed under the name Salmonella enterica subsp. enterica serovar Paratyphi B. RNAcentral's name for it is "partial 16S ribosomal RNA". It matches the Rfam family "Bacterial small subunit ribosomal RNA", at positions 1277 to 1533 of the family's 1533-position model. The record is from RNAcentral. Lineage: Bacteria; Pseudomonadati; Pseudomonadota; Gammaproteobacteria; Enterobacterales; Enterobacteriaceae.
UAAAGUGCGUCGUAGUCCGGAUUGGAGUCUGCAACUCGACUCCAUGAAGUCGGAAUCGCUAGUAAUCGUGGAUCAGAAUGCCACGGUGAAUACGUUCCCGGGCCUUGUACACACCGCCCGUCACACCAUGGGAGUGGGUUGCAAAAGAAGUAGGUAGCUUAACCUUCGGGAGGGCGCUUACCACUUUGUGAUUCAUGACUGGGGUGAAGUCGUAACAAGGUAACCGUAGGGGAACCUGCGGUUGGAUCACCUCCUUACCUUAAAGAA